GUCAGCUUCCAAGCUUUGUGCUCAUCUAAGGCAGUUAUCCUGAAAAACCUUGGAUUUAUUCAGUAGUAACCCUCUGUCGCUACUCCCUGAUCUAAUUAACCUGUCUACGACACAGUUUCUUCAUCUGUAAAGGGGGCUAAUAAAAACCCUUACUUGGUGUCUUAAUUGUGAGGCUUCAUCUAUGACAACACAAUUCAAAGUGCUUUACACAUUGCAAAGCACUACUUACAUAUUAGUUACUCGUUUUCCUAAGUGCGGCCACUUUUACGGAGGAGGAAAGUGCGCCCACCAAGAUCAAACGUCUUCCCGAGGUCUCACGGCCAUGAGGGCAGAGCUUGCUCCGUUACCUGCACCCAUCAAACCCUCCCCAAUUUUCAAAGCCUGGUUCAAGCACACGUCUUCCUCAGCCUGGCGCAGGGGGCCAAGAGCCCCAUGUCCCAGAUGAGGCGCACUGAGGCCUGCCCAGAGUCACAGGUGGCAGGCUGGGUGUCAAAGCGGUUAGCACCGCGCCAGCUCGUUGUCGGCGCCCGGAAGCGUUGGUCUCCUUUCCUUUGGAUCCUGUUGGAACGGAAGCUCUACGAGGGCAGGAACUCUGCCUGUGUCGUCGUCCCCUCCUCCCCCUUACCCGCCCCCCCGGCCCCCCUCGUUCACUGUUGUAUCCACAGUGCCCAGAGCACUGGCAGUGGGCACGCAGUAAAUUACUUGAAUGAGUAACUCUUACUCCGGCCCUUCCGUAACUCUCUCACCUCAACUCGAGUCACCCUGUCCGCUCCCCAAAGGUCUUAGAGAAUAACUGGGGGAAGGCCAGACAGAAGGGAGUGAUAGGAUAUAGAAGAGAGCACCCAGCCUGCAAAUCACUGACGCAGGGGAGUUACUCGAUCCGCUUUAAGUGCUGGGAGGCGGUAAACUCCAUGAGGACAGAGCUGUUCACCUGUUUCCUCCAAAUCCAGCACGGUGCCUGGCACAGUAGCCAUUAAAUAAAUAUUUGAUGAAUAAAAUGCUUUGCCAUGAGCAGAUUCUCUGCCUGUGAGAUUCAUG
RNAcentral lists this long non-coding RNA (1038 nucleotides) under Equus asinus (donkey). RNAcentral's name for it is "lncRNA (ENSEASG00005032679.1)". Lineage: Eukaryota; Metazoa; Chordata; Mammalia; Perissodactyla; Equidae. The record is from RNAcentral.